This 369-nucleotide ribosomal RNA is filed under the name uncultured soil bacterium. RNAcentral's name for it is "bacterial SSU rRNA". It matches the Rfam family "Bacterial small subunit ribosomal RNA", at positions 26 to 396 of the family's 1533-position model. The record is from RNAcentral.
AGGACGAACGCUGGCGGCGUGCCUAACACAUGCAAGUCGAACGGGACCAGGGGCAACUCUGGUUCAGUGGCGGACGGGUGCGUAACACGUGAGGAACAUGACCUUCGGCGGGGGAUAGCCGGCCCAACGGCCGGGUAAUACCGCGUACGACCUUUCGGGGACAUCCCCGGAUGGUGAAAGCAGCAAUGCGCCGAUGGAGUGCCUCGCGGCCUAUCAGCUAGUUGGUGAGGUAACGGCUCACCAAGGCAACGACGGGUAGCUGGUCUGAGAGGAUGGCCAGCCACAUUGGGACUGAGACACGGCCCAGACUCCUACGGGAGGCAGCAGUGGGGAAUAUUGCGCAAUGGACGAAAGUCUGACGCAGCGACG